This 4962-nucleotide long non-coding RNA is filed under the name Homo sapiens (human). Its description in RNAcentral is "HSALNT0295396". Lineage: Eukaryota; Metazoa; Chordata; Mammalia; Primates; Hominidae. The record is from RNAcentral.
UUUCAUUCCGAAAUGAUCCUUCCCUCUUUUCACGUCCCCCACCCCUGGUCCAAGGAAAAAUUGUCUUCCACGAAACCAGUCCCCGAGGCAAAAAAGUUUGGAGACUGCUGGUCUACAGUGUCCCAAAACCCUUUUCUAUGGUUCCUUCCCAAAGCCUGGAGGCUCUAAGUCCUCCCCUGUUCUUAUACUCCUGUGUGUUGAGAAAAAUAGCAUUUCCUAUGCUCUGAAGGUUCUCCAGAACAUUCUUUCUAGGCUGCAGGAUGGAGAUUAAUAAUAACAGAAUAUUUGGCAUGGCCUUGUUAGCCAAUCCAAAGCCCUCUGGGCUGAAGUGGGGGUUUUUCACUUCAGGGUCAUCCAGCCUGGGUACCUUCCAUCUCAGCAUCCCCAGGCACAGACAGGAAGGUGACAUCACCCCAUUUACAUGAUGUCUGUCUUUGUGGCCUGGGCCACUGGGUGGCUUACCUCAGAGGCGGAGAUGUCAGAGAUGGGUGUUCUGGGCAUGAUUAACAAAGGGAAAACUGAGAGCAUUCCUACUGAAGCCCCUUCUCCUUUCAGCUCCCACUCAGGUGGCCUGUCCUCACGGGCCUUGGAGUGGAGACUUGAGCCACCACCUGUCAGAGGUGGAGACUUCACAGGCACAGCUGGAGCCAAGAACCCUGGUGCCCAAUUGUCUGUGACUGCAACUGGAUCAAGGGUUUGACUGUGGCUAUCGCUUAGCCAGGCGGGAUGUUUCCUCCACCACCUGCAGCUUCACAACCAACGGUGAUCCUGGGAACCAAUGGCCCUUCCAAGAGCUGGGUUUGGAGCCUUCCCUUGAAUGAAGAACCCUCCCCAGCUGGAAGGUGAUGCUAUUGAAGGCUCAGCUGACAACAUACAUGGGCAUCAAGUCAUUGGCCACAUUCAUGCCUCAAGUGUCCUAAAACCGAAGAUGAUCAAAAGAAAACUGCUGUUCAGCAAGUGGAGACUGGCAUGCAGAUUCCCUGGCCUGCAAGCUUAGAGCAGGAAGAUACUAAAUGCUGCUGGAACAAUGAAAAGAAAGAACGGAUGUCACAAAAAGCAUUUUCAUUUGAUGAAUAGAACUAAAAGAGCAAAGCAAUUGAAAGCUCAACACAACACAGGAGGGAUCCAUGGCUGAGGAUUGUAUUUCAGAACCACUGACUGCUCUUGACAAUUGUUAACCCACUAGGCUCCUUUGGUUAGAGAAGCCACAGUCCUUCAGCCUCCACUUGAUACCAAUACUUAGGAAGACCAAAGCCAGAUGGACAAACAGCAUUGAGAGGCUUUAGCCCUACUCCUCUCAGCUUCCAUCCUGUAGAGAACAGGAGUCAGGAGCUGCUGGCAGGAGACAGCAUGUCACUUGGGAUUCUGCCAGUGCAGAAUAUGAACAAUGCCAUGUUCUUGCUAAAAAUGCUUAGCUUGAGUUUCAUAGGAGGUAAUCACCAGAUAGACAACUGCAGAAUGUAGAAUACUGAGCAGGACAAUAACCUGUCUCCUUCAGACAGUCCAUGUCACCACGAAUCACACAAUAAAAAGGAGAAAAGACAUUUUGGGUUCAAAAAAACUAAAAAGAUAAUGUAGCUAUAUUUCUUUAGUUAUUUUGAACCCAAAGUAUCUCCUCAUCUUUUUGUUGUUGUCAUUGAUGGUAGGGACAUGGACUUGUUUGUAGAGGACAGGUCAGCUGUCUGGCUCAAUGUCCUACAAGAGACAGGGGGGACAUGGAAGCGUACAGCUAUAUUUGUGGAUUAGUCUAGCUAUCUGUUCAGUAUUUAAGGUUGUUGUUGCAUAGAUAUUUAUGACUUUUGUCAGGGGAGGGGUUGGUGGAUUGGUCCUUUCAUCAUUUUAUAACUUCCCUUUCUCUCUCUGAUUAGUUUCUUUGUUCUGAAAUAUACUAUAUCUGGCAUUAAUAUAGCCAGUCUUCCUUUCCUUUAGCUAAUGUUUGCAUGAUAUAUCUUUUUCCAUCCUUUUGAUUUCAACUUGCCUGUAUUGUCAUAUUUGAAGGUAGUCUCUUUGUAGCCAGGAUGUAGUUGGGUCAUGUCCAUUAACCUACUCUGCCAAUCUCUGUCUUGUAAUUGGUGUACUUAGCCCAUUGAUAUUUAAUGUGAUGAUUGAUAUGGUAGGGCUUAAGUCUGCCAUUUUAUUUUUCCUUUUCUGUUUGUUCUCUCUGGUUUCAUUUUCUGGAUAUGCUUUAUUUUUCUUACCUGCUGUGGUGACUUGAACAUCUUUGAGAAUGGUGUUUUGCCUUAUCCAUAGUAUUUUUUAGUAUAUGUGUUUGUAUAGCCCUCUUGGUUUUUCCAGGUAUAUAUAUAUAUAUAUAUUUAUAUGUCUGUGCAUCUAUAUCUGACCACACGGUAUACUGGUGUCAUUGUUUCACCAGUUGAGUGAACGAUAGACGAGCAACCUUCUAUAUAGGUCUCUUUACCCUUCCAGUUUAUAAUUGUUUCCAACAUUUUCUGUAUGUAGAGUUAGAACCACAUCGAAUGGUUCUAUGAUUUUUUUUCUGAAACCAUCAAGCAUAGUUUAGAAAACACAAGAGGAGAAAGAAGGCCUAUUUUGCUCACUGUUUUUUAAAAUUUUCUUUCUGACAUCCCAAGUUUCCUUCUUUAAUCAUUUCCUUUCUGUCUAGAGAACUCCCUUUAGCCUUUCUUUUAAGGCAGAACUGCUGGUCAGAGAUUCCCUUAGCUUUUCUUAAUCUGAAACUGUUUUGAUCUUCCCCUUAAUUCCUGAAAGAUGUUUCUGUUGGACAGAGGAGUCUGGGCUGACAAUUAUUUUCUUUCAUGGCUUGAAAAGCACUGCACAACUUCUUUCUGCCUCCAUGGUUUCUGAUGAGAAAUCCAUCAUCACCGGAAUUGUUUUUCCUUUCUAGGUAAGGUGUCACCUUUCUCUGUUGUUUUCCGGAUAUUUUCCUUGUCUUUCUUUUCCAACAUUUUAUUUUGUCACGUGUCUUGCCAUAGACCUCUUUGGGUUUUAUCCUAUUUAGGGUUCUCACAGCUUAUUGAGCCUGUAGGUUUAUGUCUUUUGCCAACUCUGGGAAGCUUUCGGCCAUUUACUUCUUUGAGUAUGUUUUCAGCCUUGUCUUCUUCCUCUUCCCCUUCCAGACACUGAUAACAACAUGAAAGUGAGAACUUUUGAGGUAGUUUCACAGGUCCCUGAGGUUCUGUUCACUUUCCCCCCCAGUCUGUUUUCUCCCUGUUAGGAUUCUGUAAUUUCUGUUUUUCUCAUCUGCAGUAUAUGGAUUUGUUUGCUUCACACCAUCCAUUCUGCUGCUGAGCCUAUCUGCUGGACUUUUUAUUUUAGUUGCAUUUUUCACUUCUAAUACUUCCAUUUGGUUCUUAUUUAUGUCUUGUAUUUAUUUGCUGAGUCUUUCUACUUGUCCAUUUGUUUCAAGUGUUCUUAUAAGUACUCAUUAAAUCAUUUCAUCAGGCUUGCCUGCUUUAAACUCUUUGACAAUCCCAACACCUCUCUCAUCUCAUUGCCAGCGUGUAUUUGCUGUCUAUUUUCAUUCAGUAUGAGAUUUUCCUAGUUCUUGGUAUGAUGAAUGAUUUUCAAUUGAAACUUGGACUUUUGGGUGUUAUGUUAUCAGAGUUUCGAUUUUAUUGAAACCUUCUGUUUUAACUACCUUUUUUUGAGUCUGUUUCUGCAGGGGAAGAAGAGUGGUGCCAUCUCAUUGUAGCCAGGUGUGUGUAAAAAUCCAGGUUUCUCAUCUGACUGACCUCUGUUGACACCCUGAGUGGAGGAGCUGCUAAGGUAGGAGAGGGAGUUCCAGCAGCCCACUCCUCCUCCACUGCUACGUCCCUGGCUGGGUGGGUAGGAGUGCUUCAUUACUGCUUUCCACGUGGCCUCCAGUGACACCACAGGACAAGGGCAGCCUUAUUACUGCUGGGUGGAUGAAAGUCCUGACUCUCCACCAGGACUCCUCUGAUACCAGCCUAGCAGACAGAGGGAGAGGUGCCUCAUGACCAUCUAAUGAAGUCUAGGCUCCAAAUGUAGUUUCUAUUGACAGGGAGGUAAACAUAUUAUCACCUGGCAGGGAUGAUGAUGACAGCCCCAGCUUCCUCCUCUAACAUCUGUCAUUGAAAUUGUUUUUCCCCUCUAGGUAAGAUGUCGUCUUUCUCUGUUGCUUUUGAGGUAUUUUCUCUGUCUUUAGUUUCCAGCAUUUUAGUCAUUGUGUGUCUCAUGAUAAAUAAAAUGCUGGAACCUAAAGAACCCCCGGGGCAAGGUGGGGGUUUAGCAUAUGUCAUUAUACCUGCGCAAGCGUGAAACCCGAAGCCCCUCACUGGGAUUUUGCUAGCUUUUAUGUUGAUGCAGCCACAGCUUUUCUUCCACGGUGCUUGACCUGAGGAAACUGAUGAUCGUAUAUGUGUCUUGUCUUGCUAGACUGCCCCUUUGCUGAUCCUUUGCCUAGAGAGAGCAAGAUUGUAUUGGGGUUUGCUGGAUCUGUAGCCAUUGGUAUUUCUGGGCUGCCAUCUCCUUUGGCUCUACAUCUAGGAUGUAUGCGGGGGCAUGGAGGAAUCCUGGGAACUCAUCUCCUGGCUUUCUGUGGGUCUUGAGGAAGCCAGAUGGCCUCCUACCUUCUCUUUGCCCUUCAGUCUUCCUAUGUUUGUUGUAUGUACAAUGCCCAAGGUUUUUAGAUGUAAUGAGCAGGAAGAAUAGGGCAAAGUUCAUCUAUUCCACCUUCCCAGUGUAUGCCUGUGAUUUCCUUGUCUUGCCUUAUUGAUUUGGGUAGGAUUGUCAUGUGAAAUAUCAGUGGUGAGCGUGGUCUUCCUUGCUUAGUUCCCAGUCCUAGAGGGAAAGCAUGUGGUCUUUCACCAUGAGGUAAGAAGUUAACUGUGAAUUUUUUUGUAAGUUGUCUUUAUCGAGCUGACAAAGUCCUGUGUUCCUAUGUUUCUGAUAGUUGUAAAACAUUCUCUUUCUUCCCUUCUUUCUAUUUUUUCUUAUUUCUGUUUUUGUUUGUUUUGUUUUUUU